CCUGGAAUGCGGAUCACUGCUCGCGAGAGGCUUACGGCCAAUCGUGGGGGGAAAGUCCGGGCAUCAAAGAGCAGAUCACCGGUUAACGGCCGGCCGCCGAAAGGCGAGGACAAGUGCAACAGAGAAUAGACCAGCCAACGGCUCGCAUCAAUCCACAGGAUUGUGUUGAGUGCGGGUGAUGGGUGAAACGGUGGGGUAAGAGCCCACCAGCAGGAGAUGGGAGCCCAAAAGCUCUCUGAUAAAGUUCCUGGCUAGGCAAACUCUGGUCGAUGCGAGUUCGAAUAGGCAUGGAUGUGACGGCUCGUCGCGCUAUGACAUGCGGGUUGAACGCUAGAAGCUCACAGCAAUGUGGGUUCCAGAGGAAUGGUGGUCUCCCGGCCGAAGGGGAGUGAAAGACAGAACCCGGCUUACAGCAGUCCUGUGGGU
Molecule: RNase P RNA, 426 nt
Filed under: Pseudobdellovibrionaceae bacterium
Lineage: Bacteria; Pseudomonadati; Bdellovibrionota; Bdellovibrionia; Bdellovibrionales; Pseudobdellovibrionaceae
Description: RNase P RNA component class A
Rfam family: Bacterial RNase P class A
About the family: Ribonuclease P (RNase P) is a ubiquitous endoribonuclease, found in archaea, bacteria and eukarya as well as chloroplasts and mitochondria. Its best characterised activity is the generation of mature 5'-ends of tRNAs by cleaving the 5'-leader elements of precursor-tRNAs.
Source: RNAcentral